UCCUGGUGGCGAGUGGCGAACGGGUGAGUAACAUAUCGGAACGUAUCCAAUAAUGGGGGAUAACUAGUCGAAAGACUUGCUAAUACCGCAUACGCCCCACGGGGGAAAGCAGGGGAUCGCAAGACCUUGCGUUAAUGGAGCGGCCGAUAUCUGAUUAGCUAGUUGGUGGGGUAAAGGCCCACCAAGGCAUCGAUCAGUAGCUGGUCUGAGAGGACGACCAGCCACACUGGAACUGAGACACGGUCCAGACUCCUACGGGAGGCAGCAGUGGGGAAUUUUGGACAAUGGGGGCAACCCUGAUCCAGCCAUUCCGCGUGAGUGAAGAAGGCCUUCGGGUUGUAAAGCUCUUUCGCAAGGGAAGAAAACUUACUUAAUAACACUAGGUGAGGCUGACGGUACCUUGAUAAGAAGCACCGGCUAACUACGUGCCAGCAGCCGCGGUAAUACGUAGGGUGCGAGCGUUAAUCGGAAUUACUGGGCGUAAAGCGUGCGCAGGCGGUUUGAUAAGUCAGAUGUGAAAGCCCCGGGCUCAACCUGGGAACUGCGUUUGAAACUAUCAGACUGGAGUAUGGCAGAGGGGGGUAGAAUUCCACGUGUAGCAGUGAAAUGCGUAGAGAUGUGGAGGAAUACCAAUGGCGAAGGCAGCCCCCUGGGUCAAUACUGACGCUCAUGCACGAAAGCGUGGGGAGCAAACAGGAUUAGAUACCCUGGUAGUCCACGCCCUAAACGAUGUCUACUAGUUGUUGGGAGAGUAAAAUCUCUUAGUAACGCAGCUAACGCGUGAAGUAGACCGCCUGGGGAGUACGGUCGCAA
This 813-nucleotide ribosomal RNA is filed under the name freshwater sediment metagenome. Its description in RNAcentral is "bacterial SSU rRNA". It matches the Rfam family "Bacterial small subunit ribosomal RNA", at positions 83 to 891 of the family's 1533-position model. The record is from RNAcentral.